This 444-nucleotide ribosomal RNA is filed under the name Tenellia adspersa. Its description in RNAcentral is "partial 16S ribosomal RNA". It matches the Rfam family "Bacterial large subunit ribosomal RNA", at positions 1809 to 2596 of the family's 2925-position model. The record is from RNAcentral. Lineage: Eukaryota; Metazoa; Mollusca; Gastropoda; Nudibranchia; Trinchesiidae.
AAAAACAUAGCUAUAAGAAGGUAUUUAUAGUUAAACCUGCCCAAUGUACUAGAUAUAAAUGGCCGCGGUACCCUGACCGUGCUAAGGUAGCGUAAUAAGUUGGCUUUUAAAUGGAGUCAGGUAUGAAUGGAUUAACUGGGUUUAGCUGUCUCAAAAAUGCUAGUUCGAAUUUACUGUUCAAGUGAAAAAGCUUGAUUAAGAUAGGGGGACGAGAAGACCCUUAAAAUUUUAUUUAAGAUAAUUAAUGAUUAUUACAAUUUUGUUGGGGCGACAUAGAAAUAGUAAUAACUUUCUGUAAAAUAUUUGCCGGAUAUUUCAAGAUAAGAUAAAUUACUUAAGGGAUAACAGCAUAAUUCUAAAAUUGAGUUUGUGACCUCGAUGUUGGACUAGGAAGCUAACAGGUUAGAUGCUUGUUGUGGGGAUUCUGUUCGAAUUUUAAUUCCU